Molecule: long non-coding RNA, 355 nt
Filed under: Gopherus agassizii (Agassiz's desert tortoise)
Lineage: Eukaryota; Metazoa; Chordata; Testudines; Testudinidae
Description: lncRNA (ENSGAGG00000015322.1)
Source: RNAcentral
AGCCACUUGUCUAUUGUUUUUUUCUUUCAGAUCUGAGCUUCCACAACCAAUUUAGAGUCUGAAGUGCCUAGAUCAAAGACAAAGAAUAACUGGCCAUUUCUCUGUGCAGAUACCAGGUUAUGUGGGCCAACUAAGUAGCCAAUGUUUCCUUCCAGAAGAUGACAAGAGAUGAGUUUUGAAAGCCAACAAACAAGAGAGAGGUGGCGAGUUGCUUAGUCAAGGCUGUCAGCUUGAUGCCAAUACAUUGUUCCUUGCAUUGAAUCGGUGCCUUGAGAUGAACGAUUAAGGAAGCAGGAGGUUGAAGGGGCAGUGGAAGGAUCUAAACAGGUCAGUUAUGGAAGGAUUCAGUAAAAGU